CUGGGGUUCUCACGCGCAGCCGUCCUUAGGGGUUUUGGCCUUCAAUGCUGGUGGCAGUCGUGUGGAGCUGGCGGGCUGUGUGAUUCAAAGGGUGCUCCCGGCGCGCUGCUGGUUCCUGCAUGGGUUGGUCAUUCGCUGAGUCUUGCUCCUUGCCUCUUGUGGGGGUCUCCAUGGUUUCCGCCAUUGUUGCAUGUCUGUCUUUCUGUAGAGGUUUUGCUAUUCUGGCCUCUUGCUGGUUCACUUGCGCAUCAUUUUCGUGUGCGCGGGACGCCGGCGCCGUGUUCGUUCUUCCUCUGGCUGUGUCUCGUUUGUGUUCGCUCGGUCUCUGCUUGAGUGUCCUUGUUGUGACGCCUAUGUGGGCUUCUUCUUUGCCUGUUGUAUUGUUUGUUGUGGGUGUCUGGUGGACACCCGACUUCUGAUCAAGUAAUCCAAAAAUCUGCUUUUUAACGGUUAACUAAUAAUGUUUGUUUUGUGGGCCAUGCA
Molecule: long non-coding RNA, 483 nt
Filed under: Androctonus crassicauda
Lineage: Eukaryota; Metazoa; Arthropoda; Arachnida; Scorpiones; Buthidae
Source: RNAcentral